GAUCAUUAUCGUAAAACCGAGGUGCGAGGGCUGUCGCUGACCUUUUCGGUCGUGCACGCCCGAGUGCUCUCACACAAUCCAUCUCACCCCUUGUGCACCACCGCGUGGGUCCCUCUCUGGCUCGUCCGGAGGGGGGCUCGCGUUUUCACACAAACUUGAAGUAGUGUAGAAUGUCCUUUUUUUGCGAUAACACGCAAUCAAUACAACUUUCAACAACGGAUCUCUUGGCUCUCGCAUCGAUGAAGAACGCAGCGAAAUGCGAUACGUAAUGUGAAUUGCAGAAUUCAGUGAAUCAUCGAAUCUUUGAACGCACCUUGCGCCCCUUGGCAUUCCGAGGGGCACACCCGUUUGAGUGUCGUGAAAUUCUCAAAACCCUUUCUUUUGGUCAUUUUUGACCAUUGAAAGGAUUUUGGACUUGGAGGCCUUUUUGCUGGUUUCACCUUGAAGCGAGCUCCUCCCAAAUGUAUUAGUGGGGUCUGCAUUGUCGGUCCUUGGCGUGAUAAGUUGUUUCUACGUCUUGGAUUUUUGGCGCUGUACACCUGCUUCUAACCGUCUCAUUGACAACGAUGGUGUUUCGGUCGCCGCNGAUUUUUCGGUGGGAGGCUUGACCCACGAAACAAACCUUGACCUC
Molecule: ribosomal RNA, 631 nt
Filed under: uncultured Russula
Lineage: Eukaryota; Fungi; Basidiomycota; Agaricomycetes; Russulales; Russulaceae
Description: eukaryotic LSU rRNA
Rfam family: 5.8S ribosomal RNA (bases 205-358)
Source: RNAcentral